GCUCUAGGUUACUCCCAACCUCUUGAACUCUGGGUAAACCAGAUUAUUUUUAGGAGCUCUAAGCUUUCCAUAGCCCCAAGAUGAACUGGACAUCCAGGCUCACUAUCAGAAAUUCAGUCACCUUGGAAUGCUGAAACCAACAUGGCCUGUUCCAGGCUCUCUGAACCAGGAUGUGGCAGAUGAUGAUGCUAACUCUGAUGCUAGCAUGGACCACAAUUGAUUUCAAGCAAAGUCCCCUUUCAGGAUGGAGAGGGAGAGAAAGGAGACCCUUCUCAAAUCCUCUGGAGUCAGGAAUCAUUGACAAAACAGCUUUCUUCCCAAUGGAAAAGGGUCACGGAGAAAGAAACAGGUGGCGCCCGCGGAAGGAUGCAGGGCGAGACAUUGCCACCGCGGACCCGGAGCUGCGGCGAGGCCGACGCCCGCGGGGAGG
Molecule: non-coding RNA, 430 nt
Organism: Microcebus murinus (gray mouse lemur)
Lineage: Eukaryota; Metazoa; Chordata; Mammalia; Primates; Cheirogaleidae
Source: RefSeq, a predicted model, not a curated record